Long non-coding RNA from Oncorhynchus tshawytscha (Chinook salmon), 1567 nucleotides. Lineage: Eukaryota; Metazoa; Chordata; Actinopteri; Salmoniformes; Salmonidae. The record is from Ensembl.
UCUGAUAACCAUGUGUAUAUGACCAGUAACAUCUGAUAACCAUGUGUAUAUGACCAGUAACAUCUGAUAACCAUGUGUAUAUGACCAGUAACAUCUGAUAACCAUGUGUAUAUGACCAGUAACAUCUGAUAACCAUGUGUAUGUGACCAGUAACAUCUGAUAACCAUGUGUAUAUGACCAGUAACAUCUGAUAACCAUGUGUAUAUGACCAGUAACAUCUGAUUUGUAUUUGUCUGUUUCUCACCAUUCAAACAGACAGCGUAAUUCAACCACUAUUAAAACAUAUUUUUUGUGGCCGAACUGAAAUCAAGCUUCACCAGUUGAUAAGCCCUUGAAACAAUAUUUUAUAUAUUAUACUUCAAUAUCCUCACAACAUUGAUAUUCAGCCUGCAACAGAUGAUCCAUCCAUUGUUUUAAUGUUUUAAUUACAGUUGUAUAUAGUCAACAUUUCACUUUUCUUAAUUAAUUUCUCUAUUUCUUCUCAAAUCAGUUUAAAAUGGAAAAACAUACCAGCCUUUGUUUUGUUAUUAGAGUUUCGACAUUGCGGAACCAAUUGUAUUUUUGUAAACUUCAGUUUACUAUUUUUAUUUAGAAAAGUAAGACGAAUGGACUAAAUUAUUGCCACCCCAGAGCUAGUACUUGGUUGCCAAGGUAACUGCUGACAAACACUUCUGGUAGCCGGCAAUGAGCUUCCUUUCUACAGUCAAUUUGGUCCACUCUUCAGCGGUAACCUCUUCAAAUUCUUCAAAGUUUGAGGAGUGUCCUCCACCAACUGCCAUUUUCAGAUCUUACCAUAGGUUCUGGUCAGAACAGAACAGUCCAAGUGUCCUUCUUUGAAAACCAUUCCAGGGUGCUUUUUUGAUGUGUGUUUGAGGUCGUUGUCCUCCUGGGAAGACUCCUCCAACCUUCAAUGGAGACUUAGUUUUUUUGGACACUGGGGUUGAACAUUGGACCUCCAUCAACCCCUGAUAAUCGGCUGAUAUUUGUGAUGCUUUGGGCACACGUUCAAGGCCCCCUCCAGUACAAGAGGCAGCAAAACAAUUCAACAGCGUUAGCGACCCCCCCAUGAUUGACUGUAGGGAAGGUGUUCUUUUCAAUAGCCUAUAUGCUUAUUUUUGGUCAUCUGGAAUCACAGUGUUGAUCUGUAUUGCCAAAAAGCUCUACUUUUGUUUCUUUUGUUUCAUUGGUCCACAGAAUUUUUUUCCCAGAAUUUUAUUUUAUUUUUUUCAAUCAAGCUUUCUUAUGUCUCCUUCAGCAGUGGGGUCUUCCAAUGUUUACCAACGACCAAAGAAAAAUAACACCCUCCCUACAAUCAAACUUGGAGGAUGUUCGAUUUGUCAUGUUUUGAAAUUGUAAACUUCAGUUUGAAAAUCAAAUAACAAUGUGUGGAAUUUUUUUAAAAACUUUUUAUUUCUCCAACUUAUUUUAGAAGAAAUAGGGAAUUACAAAAGUUCAAGUUCAUUCGGAGAGGAUGAGGAAGGGAUGUGGUCAACAGUCAAGACACAUACAUAUUCAUAUACAUUUACAUGAAAGUUAUUGGUGUUUGUUGAUAUUGCAUAUUAAACCA